GUUAAAUUUAGCUGUUCAAGACCUGAUUAUCUUUUGUUUAUGUAUUUUAUGUGUUUGUUCAUGAUUUUUAGUUCUCACAAGAUGUGGCUCUUUUUUUUGGUAUAAUGAAGAUGUGGCUCUUAGGUAAAAGGUUGGGUGAGAACAAGGGCGGACGUAGGUGGAGUCGAGGGAAGGCAAUUGCCACCCCUUAAUUUUGAAUGUGAAAUAUCUAUUAUACCCCCGCUAAUGAUUUAUUUACAAACAUAUCUUUAUAUUAUUAAACAAGUAAUUCCUAUUCUUCUCCAAGACUCCAACCGUUCCCUACACUCUUCCUCCUCAAAUUCAAUUUUCGGCAAUUCCUCCUCAUUGUCCUCAAAUUCAAUUUUCGGCCACUGCUAUACUAUUGUCUUGAAGUUCAAAUUCCAUCUAUCCUUGCAAUUUGCAAUCACAAUUCACAAUACAGGUAAAUCAUUAAAUCUGUCAUUCUCUUUGUCUUUUGAUUGUUUGAAGUUCAUAUAUUUAUAUAAUCAUAUUGAUUUGUUAAUUGUUAUUACUUUGAAUUUUUAUGGAUAGCUGUAUCGAUGUUGAAGUAUUAUCAAAAAAGUCAAUAAAAAUUCGUCUUUGCCUAACGUGAGUUCCAACGAGAGUGUACCAAUCUCGCCUCAAACGAUCAGGAACUCAACUCCAUGUGGACCUUCUCUGAGUUUGAAAGAUAAACCACAGAUUAUUGAUGAAAAUUCUGACUUGCCAGAACUUCUUUCGAACCCAGGAAAGCGAUCAAAAAUCACAACUUAUCAUCCUAAUAUUCUUUAGAGAGUUCGGAGGAAGUACUAUCUAGAUGGUGCUUGUCAACCAAUUGUGAGAACUUUCCUCAACGUGAUUUUGAUGGCAUAAUGCGUAGGUUUAACCGCUCAUGGUAUGAUGAAUUUAGUUGGUUGGAAUAUAGUAUAGAGAAGGAUGCAUCAUUCUGUCUUUAUUGUUAUAUCUUCAAGAAUGAAUUGGGUCAGGGAAGCGGUGAUGCUUUUACAGUUACAGGUUUUAGGGAUUGGAAGAAUAAACAGAAGCUUCGAAAGCACGAAGGGGGUAUUAAUAGUGCUCAUAGACAAGCUUUUAGUAAAUGUGAAGAUUUGUUGAAUUAGAAGCAACACAUUGAGCCAACAUUGCUUAAGAUGACGGAUGAAGCAAAACUGAAUUAUAGAACGCGACCAAAUGCUUCGAUUGAUUGUGUUAGGUGGCUUUUGAAGCAAGGACUUGCCUUUCGUGGUCAUGAUGAAUCUGAGGAGUCAAGCAAUCAAGGUAAUUUUCUGGAGCUUCUAAAAUUUCUUGCUAGCCAUAAUGAUGAUGUAAGGAGAAUUGCUCUACAUAAUGCCCCUGCAAAUCUUAAGUUAAUAGCCCCUCGUAUUCAGAAAGACAUUAUUAGAGCUUGUGCAUCUGAAACAACCAGAUCUAUACUUGAAGAACUUGGUGAUGGAGUUUUUUGUGUUCUUCUAGAUGAGUCCCGUUAUGUGUCGAUAAAAGAACAAAUGUCUGUUGCUUUGAGGUUUGUAGAUAACAAUGGUUAAGUUCUCGAGAGAAUUUUGGGAUUUAAGCAUGUUGAGUGCACAAGUGCUAUUUCACUCAAAGUAGCACUUGAAGACCUGUUAAAUGCACAUGGAUUAACCAUAUCCAUGUUGUGUGGCCAAGGCUAUGACGGAGACAGCAAUAUGCAAGGUGAAUUCAAUGGAUUAAAGUCUCUUAUCUUGAAAGAAAAUUUUACAGCAUAUUUUGUCCAUUGUUUUGCACAUCAACUUCAGCUUGCUUUGGUAGCAGUUGCAAAAAGCCACAUUCGUAUUUGUGAACUUUUUCUUUUGAUGAGUAAUGUGGUCAAUGUGGUUGGAGGUUCGUGCAAACGAAAAGACAACUUAUGAGAACAAGCUGCACAAAUCAUUGAAGCCUUGGAAAAUGAAGAAAUUACCAGUGGGCGAGGAUUGAAUCAAGAAAGCACUCUCCCUCGUCCAUGUGAUACACGUUGGAGCUCUCAUUAUGGUACUAUUCUGGGCAUUCUUGAUUUAUUUGGUUCUAUACUUGCUGUGCUUAGGACUAUCAUGAAAGAAGGAGCUCUAAGUAGUCAAAGGGGAUAAGCAUCACGUUUGGUAAGAGACAUGCUCUGUUUUGAUUUCGUAUUUGAUUUGCACUUGAUGAAAUCUAUUUUGGGUAUAACAAAUGAAUUGUGCAAGGCGUUGCAAAGAAAAGAUUAAGAUAUUGUGAAUGCAAUGGUGUUAGUAGGUAUUUUCAAGAAACGACUUCAAGCUAUGAGAGAUGAUGGGUUGAGCUCUUUGAUAAAAGUUGUAUCAGUUUUUUGUGUAAAAUACAAGAUUGAGGUGCCUGAUAUGGAUGCUGUAUAUGUGAGUGGGAAAAGAUUGAAACGAAAUCAGAGAGAAGAAGAGAUGACAAACUCACACUGCUACCGAGUAGAAGUAUUUAAUACUGUUAUAGAUAUGCAGUUGCUUGAGUUAAAUGGUCGAUUUAAUGAGGCAUAGAGCUUUUGGCAUUGCCGGACCAACUCGAGAAUUUUGUGUUGGAUGUGCGUUCAAGAAUUGACACUUCAGAUGUUAAAGGGCUCGGGGAUCUAACCAAAAAAUUAGUGGCAACUGGUAGACAUUUGGUGUAUCCGUUGGUUUACAAGCUUAUGACUUUAGCAUUAGUUCUACCGGCUGCAACAGCUUAUGUGGAAAGAGCAUUUUCAGCUAUGAAGAUUGUGAAGAAUCGACUACGCAACAGGAUGGGUGAUGAAUGGAUGAGUGAUAAUUUGGUGGUCUAUAUUGAAAAAGAUGUAUUUAGUUGUGUUUCUAAUGAUGCUAUUAUACAUAGGUUUCUAACUA
Molecule: long non-coding RNA, 2840 nt
Organism: Salvia miltiorrhiza (redroot sage)
Lineage: Eukaryota; Viridiplantae; Streptophyta; Magnoliopsida; Lamiales; Lamiaceae
Exons: 2
Source: RefSeq, a predicted model, not a curated record